AUGAGCAUAAAAUGAAGCAAAAUGAUGAUACUGGAAAUUCAGGCCAAGUCUUGCAAAACAAGUUGUCCUUCAACGAAAGUGGAGCUAGGGAUAACUUUGGACAAGGUAUAAGCAAUUGUGGAGGAUAUUGUAGAGGAUAUAGAGGCAGAAAUAGAGGUAGAUGAGGAACACGUGGACGAAGCAAUCAAUCAUAUAGUAAAGUCCAAACAAGUGAAGAAUAUCAAACAUCAAGUUGUGGACAAGGAGCUCGAGGCAGAGGUAGAUUUCAACAAGGAAAUAAAUCUCAGGUACAAUGUUAUAGUUACAACAAAUAUGGCUAUUAUAGUUACGAGUGUAGAUUAAAUCCCAAGAUGGAGAAG
RNAcentral lists this long non-coding RNA (359 nucleotides) under Gossypium barbadense (sea-island cotton). RNAcentral describes it as "long non-coding RNA (GBAR_LNC011090)". The record is from RNAcentral. Lineage: Eukaryota; Viridiplantae; Streptophyta; Magnoliopsida; Malvales; Malvaceae.